This 254-nucleotide long non-coding RNA is filed under the name Ananas comosus (pineapple). RNAcentral's name for it is "long non-coding RNA (ACOM_LNC021016)". Lineage: Eukaryota; Viridiplantae; Streptophyta; Magnoliopsida; Poales; Bromeliaceae. The record is from RNAcentral.
AAUAAUAUAACUUUCAUUAUAUUUAUUUAUCACGAAACAUAUAUAUAUAUAUAUAUAUAUAUAUAUAUAUAUAUAUAUAUAUAUAUAUAUANGAUCAACUCUUUUCAUUAUUUCUAACCAUUGGAUUAAAUACUAUAACCCAGUGGGGACCACUCAACCCUAGGGGAACCACUCAACUCUAACUGACUAAUAUCAUCCUAACCCUACAAUUUUUCAUCCAAAGGCUAAAAACUUGAUAGCAAAAAGAGGGUUUU